This 303-nucleotide ribosomal RNA is filed under the name uncultured bacterium. Its description in RNAcentral is "partial 16S ribosomal RNA". It matches the Rfam family "Bacterial small subunit ribosomal RNA", at positions 507 to 809 of the family's 1533-position model. The record is from RNAcentral.
AGCAGUAGCCACGGGAAUACGAAGGGUGCAAGCGUUACUCGGAAUUACUGGGCGUAAAGCGUGCGUAGGUGGUGGUUUAAGUCCGUUGUGAAAGCCCUGGGCUCAACCUGGGAAUUGCAGUGGAUACUGGGUCACUAGAGUGUGGUAGAGGAUAGUGGAAUUUCCGGUGUAGCAGUGAAAUGCGUAGAGAUCGGAAGGAACAUCUGUGGCGAAGGCGACUAUCUGGGCCAACACUGACACUGAGGCACGAAAGCGUGGGGAGCAAACAGGAUUAGAGACCCGAGUAGUCCCUGUCUCUUAUAA